GGAUUAGAUACCCCACUAUGCCUAGCCGUAAAACAUUAACCCACAUCAUAAACCGCCAGGGAAUUACGAGCCCAAGCUUAAAACCCAAAGGACUUGACGGUGCCCCACCCACCUAGAGGAGCCUGUUCUAUAAUCGAUUUUCCCCGAUACACCUCACCACUUCUAGCCUCUCAGCCUGUAUACCUCCGUCGUAAGCUUACCAUAUGAACGUUGAACUAGUGAGCUAAAAGAUUUACCAUCAACACGUCAGGUCAAGGUGCAGCCCACGAAGUGGCAAGCAAUGGGCUACAGUUUCUAACUUAGAACAGACGAAAGACUACAUGAAACACAGUCAUGAAGGCGGAUUUAGUAGUAAAAAGAAAAUAGAGUGUUCUUUUUAAUUAGGCGCUGGGACGCGUACACACCGCCCGUCACCCUCUUCAAACGCAACCAUUAUGUUAAUAACACCAAACUGCACUACAGAAGAGGUAAGUCGUAACACGGUAAGCGUACUGGAAAGUGCGCUUGGAUAA
Molecule: ribosomal RNA, 512 nt
Filed under: Kaloula rigida (Luzon narrow-mouthed frog)
Lineage: Eukaryota; Metazoa; Chordata; Amphibia; Anura; Microhylidae
Description: 12S ribosomal RNA
Rfam family: Bacterial small subunit ribosomal RNA
Source: RNAcentral